AGAUUAGUAAGACGGACAAAACUCUUUGUGAGCCUGAAAAUUAAAGUCUUAAAGAUAUUCAGAAAUACAGACUGCAGAAUGAAAAUGAAAUAGCAAGAGGUGAAAAAGAGAUUUACAAAAGCAAUGGAGAUUUUAUGAACAAUCAUACAAGGACACAUUUUAAAGCCUAGAUGAAAUGGCUAAUUUCUAGAAAAUCAUAAAGUGGCAAAAUCAGUUUAUGAACAGAAAAACAUAGAGAGACUAAUACAAACGAAAGUGAAAUAAUAAAGUCCUCCCAGCCUGCGCUCAGGCUCAGGCCCUACUGUUUCACAGUUGAGCCCUAUUAAAUUUAAUAAGAUACAGAUAAUUCUUCAUCUUAGACAAACGGUUCCAAAACAAUAUUAACCCAUUUUAUGAGACUGGUAUAACCUCAAUUCUAACUGGAUAAAAAUAAGAAAAUUAGGAGUUUCCUGGUGGCCUCGCAGUUAAGGAUCCGGCAUCGUCACUGCUGUGGCUCUGGUUACUGCUGUGGUGCGAAUUCAAUCCUUAGCCUGGGAAGGUCUGCAUGCUGUGGGCACGGCCCCCCAAAAAAGGAGAGAAAACUGUAGGCUAAUUUUAUCUACUUACACAGAUACGGCUAAUCCAAUAUUGUAAAAUAUAAGACAAAGAAGAGCUGACGGCAGAAUGCAAUGAUGCUUCCACAUCAGAGCAUCGUUCACUGUAAUUUACCACAUUUAUAGACGGGGGAUAAAAAUCACCCAGACCUGAACAGAUUUGAGUCACGUGGUUCCUUAACCUGAUCAAAGCUUCUACCAAAGGUUGCCGUUGGGCACAUGCCCUCCCUCUAAGACCAGGAAAGGAGAGGCAGAGUCCCAGCCCCACUCGCAACAGAGAGCGCCUGAGGUUCUGGUUGGCAACACAAGUCCCUUGGGUAUAAGCAGUGGAAGGAAAGGGACAAACAAGUGUCACUUUUUUUGCAUGUGAUAUCCUCCCCAGAGAGAUGCGACAGAAUCAAGUGAACUAGAACAACCAAUGAGGGAUUCGGCAAGCCGGCCAGUUUCGAAGGCAGUAAACAAAAACAACUGCUUUCCUCCACACCACGGUCAUCAGAAAAACAAUUCUUUUAAAGUCCCUGUUCACAAUACUACAGAAACCGUACAGAACUAGGAAUUAACCUAAUGAGGAAGGCACAACACCUUUCUGGGGGAAGAUCUAAGCAUACGGAGAAAUAAACUCAUUCACGGGUGAGGCAACUUAAAAGUUCUUAAUUCUCCCCCAAAUUAAUCUGUGUGUGUGUGUGCGUGUCGUGUAUGUGUGUGCAUGUGUGCGUGUGUACUUUUUUGUUUGUUUUUAGGGCUGCACCUACAGCAUAUGGAAAUUCCCAGUCUAGGGGUCAAAUCGGAGCUGCAGCCGCUGGCCACAGCCACAGCCACCGCCACUUGGGAUCUGAGCCUUGUCUGUGACCUACACAACAGCUCACGGCAACGCUGGGUCCUUAGCCAACCCACUGAGCCAGGCCAGGGAUCGAACCUGCAUCCUCAUGGAUACUGGUCAGGUUCGUAAACCGCUGAACCACAACGGGAACUCCCUAAUCUGUAUAUUUAAUCCAAAUCCAACAAAACUCCAGCAGAAUUUAAAGGCAACUUGAUGGAAAUGUGCAUGAAAGAAUAACUGGCCUUGAGGAGCUGACAUAUUUCGAAAGAGAAAAAGCAAUGAGCAAAUGUGCCCAAUCAGAAAGUGAAACAUAGAGUUCCCGUCGUGGCUCAGUGGUUAAUGAAUCCAACUCGGAACCAUGAGGUUGCAGGUUCGAUCCCCGCCCUUGCUCAGUGGCUUAUGGAUCCAGCAUUGCCGUGAGCUGUGGUGUAGGUUGCAGACGCGGCUCGGAUCCCGCGUUGCUGUGGCUCUGGUGUAGGCCAUCGGCUACAGCUCCGACUGGACCCCUAGCCUAGGAAUCUCCAUAUGCCGUGGGGGUGGUCCAAGAAAUGGCAAAAAGACAAAAAGAAAAGAAAGAAAGAAAAGAAAGUGAAACUGGAACAAAAGAAUGGCCCAGACACAUACCCGUAUCCAGAGCCUCGGCAUCCAAGGGACGCAACUGCCCAAGUCCCUGGGGAGGAGACAGCACAAUUCAGUAGGCCGUGCUGCAAACACUGCCCACCUCGCACUGCAUGCAAACAUCCUCUCCAACCUACAGAUCUAAACACAGAAGGCCAAUCUCCACGGCUAUCAAAAUAUGAAUAUCCUUGUGAUCUUGAGUGGCGAAAGAUUUCUCAGAACAAGACUGAAAUGAAAAAUGGACAGAUUCGGCUUCAUCAAAAUUAGGUUUUUCUAUUUAUUGAAGGACAACUACAGAUGGAUCAACAAAUGAGUGAGAGAUCGGGGGAGAAGAUAUUUACAAAUGUGAGAGCCAACAAAGGAUUGGCACAGAAACGUACCAGGAACUCUUGCAAAUCAGCAAAAAGAUGGUACACCAUUAAAAAAAAAAGGGACAAAAUACAUGACCAGACAAUUUACUACAGGGUAAGUCUGAAAAAUCUAAAUAAGUAUAAAAUGAGAUUUAUAGUGAGUAUAAACAAGCCUUACUGGUGAUUGGAGAACAACCAUCACAAGGCUGACGUGCCACUUGAGAACCAUCGGGACAGCAAAACGUCUCCAGGAAGCGCGGAUGAGACUGUGGGGGAGCCGAGCAGCACAGCUGUUCUGGGGAACAGCCGUUCUGGGGAGCCGUCUGGCAGCGCUCAGUGAGAUGAAGGACGCUUUUCACCCCGGGGCGCAGCAAUCCUACUCCUGGACACCUGUCAGGAGAUGUAGCUUAGGAUGCUCAGGCCCUGUCCCCAGGAAAGUGGACAUGUGAGCUCAGGUGGUGCUGGGGACUGAAGGUGUCUCCUCUAAACUCGUGUGCCCCAGCCCUCAAUGUGACAGUGUUUGGAGGUGAGGCCUUUGGGAGGUACCUGGGUUUAGAUGAGGUUAUGAGGGUGGGGUCCCCGUAACGGGACGGAUGACCUUCUGAGAAGAGAGCUCCCCGCCCCCCCAAGCCCCUCCGUCGUGCUGAAGACACAGCACGCCAGGGAUAGGGCUCUCCCCAGGAAGCGGACUCUGCAGGCACCUCGAUCUUGGCCUUUCCGGCCUCAGUAGCUGUGAGCAGCCAACGUCUACUGUUAAACACACCCCCCUACUUCUCCCCAGCCCGUGUAUGGUAUUUUGUUACAGGAGCCUGAGCUAAGUAAGACAAGUGGAUUCUUAAGAUGGAAUCUGAUGCAGCGCUCGUGAAGGAUGAAAUUUACAUGGGGUAACAUGGGCAGACCUCAAAAACAGUGAGGAGGGAAAGGGAAGGGGAGAAAGAUUUACAGCACGAUGCCACACUCAUGAGCUGGAGCUGCUCAUACAUACAACUGCUUUACAAGAACACAUCCAUGUAAAGGCAUAUUAAAUACACCAGAAUGAGGAGAGGAGGAGACUGGAGAUGGGAUGCAACAGAAAGGCGAAAACAUUUAAUACAAUGCAUCAUGAUGUGCUGUGAACUGAGAAGUGAUUAAUGCAACUCGUGGCGGGGGGGGGAGACACGUGUGUGCACACAGGCGCACACACACACACACAGCACGCACACGCCCCGAAGGCAGGCAGAAAGUCGGGAUUUGGUUUUUCCUGCUCAAAGGGUAAAGAGGAGAGUGUUAAAGCUCCCACGAUUUGACUUAAAGACGUCAGCUUUUAACAUAAAACAAUCGGUAAGGUGUUUGUAAACUUCAGGAUUAUGGUGAACCGAGCUGGUAACGGCCCCUCAUCUCUCGUCCACUAAGAAGGUGAUGUACAGACCUGAACGGAGACCCACAGAAAUCACACAACUGAAGAAGAUCUGGCAUUUUGCUGUUUAACUUAUGGAACUUGUCAAUUUCACUCAAAAUUUACACCAGCUUCCAAUUAUACUUAACUGAGUAUUAACCAUUCUAAUUGCUCGCUGCUCUACUGGCUGGAUCUAAAGUACUGAGGGACAUCUGGCUUGGCAAAUGGGACUCUGCUCCCUGUUAGAAAAGGGAGCUUCAGGCACUCACUUUCUCCUCGUGCCCUCGUAGGCACCUUCACCGAGGAUCCACACAUCUCAGAAACGGGGCUUUAUGAGCGCGGACCUGGCCAAAGCAGUCAGGACAAACUCCCUGGGAGCCGGGCAACUGUACCCCACGUUACACAUCACAGACAGCUGGGGCAGGGCGGCUGCAGGAGCGGGGGCCCAGGUUCCUUCCACCUUCCUGCUCCUCCAAGCGGCUGCUGGUUGUCCUGGGCUCCCCCCGCCCCCAUGAAGCUCAAGGAGGGAAUACGGCCCGGCCUGGGCAGCCUCUUCUCCCGGGGGCGUGUUCACAGGCAGAAAACCGCAGUUUGGCCAAGUUCAUCGCCUUUUUUCAGAGAAGCAGGACCAUAAGCAAACAGGGACUGCCUGAGAGUCUCUAUCUCUCCAUCCCAAGCGACGUGAACCGCCCAUCGCACCCGGCCAGGGAAGAGGCCCCUGGCUGCAAGCAAGGAGAGAAGGCGGGGUGGCGGCCACCAGCCUCUGCUCACAGUUAAACGGCUCCACGGUCUCUCCACAAAUCCAUCUGUGCCAAACAGCGGUUCCCAAGGGGGGAGGAACCCCAGCAGUGAGGAACCUGAGGAGGAGGCAGGAGGAAGACCAGAAUAAAAUGCAACAGUAGCCGGGGCCUUCAAAUGAGUACCCUGGAGAAAACAGGAGGUACACGGAAGAGGCUAAAAAGUAACAGACUCAGAAAGUUAAACACAGAGUUCCUAUAUGCGACCCAGCAAUUCCACUCCUAAGUAUAUGCUGAAGAAAAGAGAAAGCCUAUGGUCAUAAGAAACUUGUACCCAGAUGUGCACACAGAUGUUCGUAGCUGUGUUAUUCAUACUAGCCCCAAAGCAGAACCAACC
This 4890-nucleotide long non-coding RNA is filed under the name Sus scrofa (pig). RNAcentral's name for it is "lncRNA (ENSSSCG00015012038.1)". The record is from RNAcentral. Lineage: Eukaryota; Metazoa; Chordata; Mammalia; Artiodactyla; Suidae.